Agrilus planipennis (emerald ash borer) is the source of this 594-nucleotide long non-coding RNA. RefSeq lists it as uncharacterized. Lineage: Eukaryota; Metazoa; Arthropoda; Insecta; Coleoptera; Buprestidae. The transcript is spliced from 3 exons. The record is from RefSeq and is a predicted model, not a curated record.
UUUUAGAUGAAGAAGAUAGUAACUAUUCUUCUUCUAUCAGAUGGAGAAAGCUACAACUUUGGAACAACGAAAAAAAAAAGAAAAUUAAUAACAAAGAAAUAAUAAGAAAAUCUCGAAUAUCAUCCUCCAGUGUAUCUGAUUUAACUAAUUCAACAUCACUUACUCUGACAUCAUGCCCGUCGACGAGUAAAACAAAACAAUACGAAGGUGCUUAAUUUGAAAAACUACAUCGUGUGAUUGAUGAUAGAUUCCAAAGUAUUUUCAGUGAAAUAUCAGAUAAAUUUGCUAAACUGAAUACUCAGUAUAAUUCGUUGUCCUUACAUUUUCGACAACUGAGUCGAAAAAUCAUUGAAAUUCAACAUCAAUUGAAUCAUAUAAAUACACAGAAAUACAAAUCGAUAGCGAAGGUAAAGAUUCUGAAAUUAAACUUGUCUUGUAAAGCGAUGAUCAAUUUUGUGCAAUUUGACAAAAAACUUGAAAAAGAUAACUCAUUCCAGAAAGAAAAUGCACAAAAAUUGUUUCUGAAGAUAAACAAACGUAUACCCAUAACCAGAAAUUUUGCCGAAUUAUUAAGAUACUGUAUAUUUCGUGAAG